Long non-coding RNA from Salvia miltiorrhiza (redroot sage), 433 nucleotides. RefSeq lists it as uncharacterized. The record is from RefSeq and is a predicted model, not a curated record. NCBI's taxonomy places the organism in Eukaryota, Viridiplantae, Streptophyta, Magnoliopsida, Lamiales, Lamiaceae. The transcript has 2 exons.
AAGUGAAUCAUAGGAUGAUAAACACUUCACUAUGACUUAAGAUUAGAUUCAGGAGACCUAUUAAGAUUAUAGAUUUCUUGUAGGCUUUGUGGAUCGUGAGGACUAGCACUGCUAUACCAAUUCAGAGUUAAGAAUAAACGACAGGCUUUGCCUAUUCAGGUUGAUUGGUCGGUGCUGACGGGGCAGAGCUGAGGCUAGGGUUCAACUCCGUAUUUUGUCUUCCGCUGUUGCACUAGCUCUUAUUUGUCUUUUGUUUCUCCAACUUAAGACUUUUAUGUUAAAUUCUGAAUUAUGUUUCUUAUCGAGCUUAAACUCUCAACUUCUAGCUCUAUGUUAUUAACGUUGGUUAUCGGAAGCAUGAAACCGAACUUGUGAUCCUAAGGCUUAGAAUGUUGUUGAUUGAUUAAUAUCACUUGAUUUUUGUCUUUCUUCA